Long non-coding RNA from Mercenaria mercenaria, 3017 nucleotides. RefSeq lists it as uncharacterized. The transcript has 3 exons. The record is from RefSeq and is a predicted model, not a curated record. Lineage: Eukaryota; Metazoa; Mollusca; Bivalvia; Venerida; Veneridae.
AGGUCAAGUCAAAGAAAAAGCUUGUUAACACUCUAGAGGUCACAGUUUUGAUCCAAUCUUAAUGAAACUUGGUCAGAAUAUUACUCUCAAUAAAAUCUUGGACGAGUUCGAUAUUGGGUCAUCUGGGGUCAAAAACUAGGUCACCAGGUCAGAUCAAAGGAAAAGCUUGUUAACACUCUAGAGGUCACAAUUUUGGCCUAAUCUUAAUGUAACUUGGUCAGAAUGUUACUCUUAAUAAAAUCUUGGACAAGUUCGAUAUUGGGUCAUCUGGGGUCAAAAACUAGGUCACCAGGUCAAAUCAAAGGAAAAGCUUGUUAACACUCCAGAGGUCACAAUUUUGGCCCAAUUUUAAUGAAACUAAGUCAGAAUAUUACUCUCAAUAAAAUAUUGGACAAGUUUGAUAUUGGGUCAUCUGGGGUCAAAAACUAGGUCACCAGGUCAAAUCAAAGGAAAAGCUUGUUAACACUCUAGAGGUCACAAUUUUGGCCCAAUCUUACUGAAACUUGGUCAGAAUAAUACUCUCAAUAAAAUCUUGGACAACUUUGAUAUUGGGUCAUCUUGGGUCAAAAACUAGGUCACCAGGUCAAAUCAAAGGAAAAGCUUGUUAACACUCUAGAGGUCAUAAUUUUGACCCAAUCUUAAUGAAACUUGGUCAGAAUAUUACUCUCAGUAAAAUCUUGGACAACUUCGAUAUUGGGUCAUCUGGGGUAAAAACUAGGUCACCAGGUCAAAUCAAAGGAAAAGCUUGUUAACACUCUAGAGGUCACAAUUUUGGCCCAAACUUACUGAAACUGGUCAGAAUAUUACUCUCAAUAAAAUCUUGGAAGAUUUUGAUAUUGGGUCAUCUGGGGUCAAAAACUAGGUCACCAGGUCAAAUCAAAGGGAAAGCUUGUUAACACUCUAGAGGUCAUAAUUUCGGCCCAGUCUUAAUGAAACUUGAUCAGAAUAUUACCCUCAAUAAAAUCUUGGACGAAUUUGAUAUUGGGUCAUCUGGGGUCGAAAACUAGUCACCAGGUCAGAUCAAAGGAAAAGCUUGUUAACACUCUAGAGGUCACAAUUUUGGCCCAAUCUUAAUGAAACUUGGUCAGAAUGUUAUCCUCUGUAAAAUCUUGGACAAGCUUGAUAUUGGGUCAUCUGGGGUCAAUAACUAGGACACCGUGUCAAAUCAAAGGAAAAGCUUUUUAACACUGUAGAGGCCACAUAUAUGACUGUAUCUUCAUGAAUAUUAGUCAGAUUGUUGAUCUUGAUGGUCUCAAGGUCCAGUUUGAAUCUGGGUCAUGUAGGAUCAAAAACUAGGUCACCAGGUCAAAUCAAAGGAAAAGCUAGUUAACACUGUAGAGGCCACAUUUAUGACUAUAUCUUAAUAAAAAAUUCACUACCACGAAAGUCAUCUGUGAUGCAACAAAUCUCACCAAGGUACCCUUCCAGGUCUGGUACCCUCCCAGGUCUGGUACCCUUCCAGGUCUGGUAUCCUUCCAGGUCUGGGACAACCAACAUGAUGAUGAGAGACUAGUUGUUGGCUGGAGUGUUAGAGAAUACCGAGACAACACUGAUGUAUCACCAGAGAUAACAAAGAAAUUCUUCAGGUUGUUGAUUCUUUAGAGAUAAGUGAUGUGCGGGUCUUCUAUGAGAAUAUGGUAGUUACUAUGGUUCAAAGAUACUACCCUUCAGUCACUGAGCUUCAAGAAACCAAACCUAAGGGAUACUGUCUCACCUGAAGAAGUUGCCAUCUGUUUGUCCAGUUUGUCAGUGGUUCUUCUUACUCCCGAGACUGAACUGCCCAAACCAGAUCAUAUAGAGACAUACUGGAUAUCUGUCUGGGAAAUGAAGCUCCACACUGGAAAGGAAAGGUGUAUUAAACUGAGUAAGAUGUCUUUACUUCUCCUGUCACUACUGCACUGCAAUGCUGAUUCAGAGCCGUCCUUCAGCAUACUGAGGAAGAUACAGGCUGACAGCAGGAGCAACCUAGCUCUGGAAACCAUUCAGAACUUGAUGUCUGUGAAAAUGAACAAUCACUCUAUAUGUUAACAUUCUCUUCAUCUCAUGAACUUAUUAGAGAGGGAAAGUCAGCGUGUAAUGUAUACACUCGUAAGUGAAGACCGCAUAAAUGAUGUGUUACUUGCUGAAAUACUAAAUUGUGCUUUUAAUAUUUUUAUAAAGUGUCUAUGGUUAAGUGGAGACAACUUGAUUUGUAUUCAUUGUGAUAUCUGGAUAAGAGGACAUCAGUUAUGAAACAGAAAAGUGAUAUUGAUAUGUCAUAUAUAUAUAUUGUGUUGUUAAAAUAGUAUAAUGUUUUCUGUUAGUAUUUUGAAGUGAAUAUAUUUAAGAGUAGAAUAAAAGAUAACAUAAAUUUUUGGAUUUUGUCUGUAAAAUUGUGUGAUUGUGAGCUUAAAUUAUGUCGAUAAAAAAAAAGUUUUGAGACCCAAAGAGCAGCUGAAAAAUAGCAAACCUCCAGUUUUGGGAUUCUGAACCUAUCACAUUUUUGAGACCCAAACAGCAGCUGAAAAAUAGCAAACAUCUAUUUUUGGUAUGCUGGGAAUACAUUAUUUUUAGCUUGAAUAUACCAAGUACAUGGAUAGAUAUUUUACUCACCCCGGCGGCGGCGGCGGCAUUCCCUGUCCCCACCUUGGUUAGAGUUUUUUUAACACUCUUUUUUUCUUCUUAUCUUCAUAAUUACUUGAUGGAUUUGUUUCAAACUUAAAAUAGUCAAAUAGUUAUUCCUCAUCAUCACCCACAUCAUAUGGCACAAGGUCCAUAACUCUGGUACCAAUAUUUUAUGAAUUAAUCCCUUACUUUUACUUAGAAUUUCAGGUUAAAGUUUUGGUGCACUUUCAAACUUUCUUUGCUUGAAAUCGUAGCAGUUGUUUCUUUCAUCUCUUUCAAGUGUCUUGAAUUUUUUUUUUCUUUUUAAGAAAGAACAGAUCAAAUAAAUAGGAAAUUAAUUUUCUGAUAUUUUUAUGUCUUUUUUAAAUAAGCUGAUUUUCUAAAUGUUUUAAUGCUCUGAAAUAAUUAUAUGG